RNAcentral lists this ribosomal RNA (694 nucleotides) under uncultured bacterium. Its description in RNAcentral is "bacterial SSU rRNA". It matches the Rfam family "Bacterial small subunit ribosomal RNA", at positions 111 to 823 of the family's 1533-position model. The record is from RNAcentral.
UAACACGCGGAUAACCUGCCUCACACUGGGGGACAACAGUUAGAAAUGACUGCUAAUACCGCAUAAGCGCACAGUACCGCAUGGUACAGUGUGAAAAACUCCGGUGGUGUGAGAUGGAUCCGCGUCUGAUUAGCCAGUUGGCGGGGUAACGGCCCACCAAAGCGACGAUCAGUAGCCGACCUGAGAGGGUGACCGGCCACAUUGGGACUGAGACACGGCCCAAACUCCUACGGGAGGCAGCAGUGGGGAAUAUUGCACAAUGGGCGAAAGCCUGAUGCAGCGACGCCGCGUGAGUGAAGAAGUAUUUCGGUAUGUAAAGCUCUAUCAGCAGGGAAGAUAAUGACGGUACCUGACUAAGAAGCCCCGGCUAACUACGUGCCAGCAGCCGCGGUAAUACGUAGGGGGCAAGCGUUAUCCGGAUUUACUGGGUGUAAAGGGAGCGUAGACGGCAUGGCAAGUCUGAAGUGAAAACCCAGGGCUCAACCCUGGGACUGCUUUGGAAACUGUCAAGCUAGAGUGCAGGAGAGGUAAGUGGAAUUCCUAGUGUAGCGGUGAAAUGCGUAGAUAUUAGGAGGAACACCAGUGGCGAAGGCGGCUUACUGGACUGUAACUGACGUUGAGGCUCGAAAGCGUGGGGAGCAAACAGGAUUAGAUACCCUGGUAGUCCACGCCGUAAACGAUGAGUGCUAGGUGU